Xylaria digitata is the source of this 67-nucleotide non-coding RNA. Lineage: Eukaryota; Fungi; Ascomycota; Sordariomycetes; Xylariales; Xylariaceae. The record is from the annotation of a GenBank genome assembly.
GGUUUGGUAGCUCAGCGGUAGAGCGUGGGAUUGCAGAUCCUUAGUGGUUCGACUCUGGUUCAAGCCU